Molecule: long non-coding RNA, 5231 nt
Organism: Apis mellifera (honey bee)
Lineage: Eukaryota; Metazoa; Arthropoda; Insecta; Hymenoptera; Apidae
Exons: 2
Source: RefSeq, a predicted model, not a curated record
GGAUGACUUUUCAUAUUAAUUAAACACAAGCAAAUACUCUGCAAUAAUUUCACGAUUGAAUGUUUCUUUGAAAAUUUUCUAUUUUUAAUUCGAUGUUAUCACAAGAGAAUAAAAAGAUACUCCAAACAAGCUAGAUAGCGUCUCACGGUUCCAUGGUGUACAGGAGAAAGGAGAAGAUCUAAAGUGACCUUUAGAUCAGGCAUUCUAUUUAUCCUAGGUAGCCAGCCUUCGUUAUAAAUAACAGAUUAUGUAAGCUUUGAUCGGGCGUUCAUGUGUAUAAAAAAUCAAGCAAGAGACUUCUUCACGCUCCCGUUUGCGUUACAUCUAGGAGUUUAUUAUAGGAAGCGGCAAGUAGAACAAGAAAACAUAGGAAAAUGCUUGGCAAAAUAACAACAAAACAACAUGCUAUAACUACACGCACAACGCGAGCGGAGAACAGAGGAGGCCGGAUAAUAGCGACGGAGGAACCGGAAAGCAUAAACCCGCGCAAAAGUGGGAGCCACUUCAAGCGUUUUCUGCGGCCCAACCCUUCCGAAAAUUAUCCACGGCGACCUGGCCAGACACGUCCUACCCUAACACGGGAUGAGAAGCAUUCUUUGUCGAUAUUAUACUCUUGAAAAAAUUUUGUCAAGUCAAGAAGAUAGAUCCGUAAAGAGAGAUAAACGUUAAGAGAGGGACGAUUAAACGUUUAUUUAGUUUCGAUAGUGGAGAGAAAAUUUUCUUUAAAAGAUACAGAAAUUAUAGUAACGAGAAAAUAAGAUAAUUCGUGUUCCCUUGGACAUUCUUUAUCAUGAUAUUAUCUGCUUUUGAAAAUAUUUCAUCGAGCUAAGAAUAUGAAAAAAGAAAAAAAUUUGUCUUCCAUUUUAAUAGGAAAAAUAUUUUAUCUUCCGAAAGUAUUUUCUUUAAAAAAAAAAGAAAUUCAAUUGUAAUAGAAAGAAAAUAAUACAUUUCAUGUCUCGUCAGCAUAAAACCUCGUACAAAAUUUAAAAAAAGAAAAAAUAGAGAAUGCGAGUAAAUAGAAGAGGAAGCAAAAGCUUUUAAAUUGUGGAUAAAACUGGAAAAUGAUAAAAUUCAAAAAGAUUGAAAGAGACACGUGUUACAACGUACCGUUGCAGUUUUCAUAAAGAAAUAAAGAAAAGUUACGAAAAAUAAAUCUAUCCUCGAAUAAAAAUUAAGGGAAAAUCUUAACAAACGAUUUUUUACAUCGAACCAAUCAUUGGAACAAAUGAUGAACGACGAAAUAAAAUUAUUCUAAAUUACAAAACGCGAUUCGAAUUAUAAGAUAUACAGAAGAAUUUGAGGAAAAACUUGAAAUUUUUAUUUCGAAACAAUAAGAAACAACAACGUGUAAAACCUUUCGCAAAAUUCAUGAUGAUAUUUAUUGAAAAGAGAAAAAUUUUAUUUGACGCAACGCCAUUACAUAAAUGUGGUUGUGCUACUUUCAGCAUUGCCACGCCCCUGUGCUGCAACCUUAACUUCCGACACCACCUAUAAUAAACCCUUUAAGCUCCCAUGUGCAUCGCAUACUCCUCCUUUCCCCCGUCCCCUAUAUCCAGGGUCGUCCAAAGUUCAAAGUUCUUUUGACGGUCAGAACUUUUUCCGUUUCAUAAACUGGCUCUGGUACAAUCCCUGACAAAGUUUCUUUCGUGGAACAGAGCCAUCUCGAAAUUACCACAUUGCGGCCUUCUCCAUUAAAUUUUCUCAAGUUUUUCGCAAUAAAAUCGACACUUUGGAGAAUAAAUUUUUGAAGACAUUCGUUGAACAAAUUGGAAUUUAUUCGCAGCUCAAACAAAAAAAGAAACUACAGAGCGAUAGUAGAGAACAAUACAAAUUUUUUAAUCGAAAUAUCAAUAUUCGAUAUCAAAAUUUUCAAUUGAUCUAUUAAUCGUAUCAAAAUCUUGUUAUUUUAGAUAAAGAUAAGAAGAAUUGAUUCACUGAGGAUGAAUUUUUGGAAGAAGCACGUUCACAUUGAAAAUUUAUUAAACAAUAAAUAAUUCAAGUAACAAUUAAGAAUGAAAAUAUAUAAAAAUAAUAACAUGUUUCGAAUCUAUUCGAUUUUACAAAAAAUACUUCAAAAUCAUGAAAAGAAUUAUUAAACAUCAAUUACUAUAAAAUAUUCAAUAAGAAAUCAAACUCUAAACUAACUAACAAACAAAAUUACCAACACAAAAUUUUGAGCAUGGUCAGGGAACAAAAACAAGCAUGCUAAAAAUUUCAAUCGAAACACAAAUAAAAAGAGAGUGCGAAAAAGCUAGAAAUUCGACAACGCAAACAUUGCAAAAAGUAAUCCAUUUUGCAUAAUCUAAAGUUAAAAAACGGUCCCAAUUAAAAUUCUAAACACGGCGAAGGAGUUUACAGUUGGAAGCAUCGAAAUUCAUCUCUGGCAGGAUUUGAAAAGGCGCACGCUAUAAAUUUCCGGUGUAAAAAGGGCGGCAGAAGGAAAUAUCUUUCCCUAGGCAAGACGAAAGAAAGAAAUGGCCCCGGCUUUCCAAUUAGCAUUCUUACUCCUGCCGCUGCAGGCAAAUGUCGGCUUUAGGGGGUGGCGAGUGUGCAACAUAAACCGCGCGAUAAAACGCCGCUGGCACGUGUAUAUCACCCACACAUACAGCCACUUCUUUUUCAUUUUAGUUUCUCGCACGGCAGGGUAGAAAGCGGUAAAGUAGAAACGGCAGAAACACGGCCAAGAAGAGUUUAUAAUGCUCUCCUCGCGCUGCUCCGACACUCUGCCACUUCGCCGACUAACUGCAGGUGGUUCUCAAAAUUUCUCUCCGUUUCACAAUAUACUUUCUUCGACUUAUGAUGAUACCUUCGAUUCACAAUAUAGAAUUCAUUAUUUGAAGAUCUCUUGUAUCUCAUUGAUGCGAUAAGAUGAAGAUAGGAGAAAGAAUGAAACGAUACAUAUAUUUUUAGAAUGUGGAAUGCAAAAGAGAUACAAUUGUGUAAUCUAAAAAUGUAGUAGAGAUGUCGUUGAACUUUUGAUUUGAUCGAGAAAAUUAAUGUAAUUGGAGAUGUUAUAUCGUAAUCUAAUAAUAUAUUUAAUAAAUUUACAAUUCCAAAAAGAAAAUAAAUUUCAAGAAACGAAAAUAAAGAAAUCUUAAUAUUACAAAUUGCAAUAUUAGAAUUUGCCAUAUCAAACAAUUGGAUAUCAAAUGGACCAUGAUCAAAAUUCGAAGAAUUCUUACAAGAAACUACACAAAAACCGUACAUCGUUCUCAUUCUCUCUUAGAACCAUUCAAAAAACAUUCAAUCAUUACUUUAACUCAUUCAAAGGCAACACUAAUCGAACCAAAGAACAGAAAAACAAAUAUCAAAAUAUCCAUAGAUCGAUUCACAUAAUCAUUUUUCCAUCAUCUCGUCUCAUCUCGUGAAAAAAGGCAACUCAAAAAGACUAUUAGCAAAAAUCAAUUCGUCUCGAAACGAAAGAUUCGCAUUCUCUCCCCUGGAAAAUGAAGGGUUGAGAGUCACGGCGGUGGAGGAGCUCGGUAUUUUUAACCCUUCGCGAGAAAUUCACGCCACGAAGACGUCGAAAAAACAGUGUCUCGGCUCACGGUUCGCAGGAGGGAUAGCCGACCGGUCAAAAGUUUCGCGGCCGCCACCCUCGCAGCCGCCAGUUCGUUUUUCUCCCCUUUUCUUCAACGGCGGCGACUCUUAAGCGGCGAGAAACCGAGAAAACGCGCGGAGUCGUCGACAAUUCCGGCAUGCGGCCCGCUAAUUAUUUAAUUAUUUAUUUACCGAGUUCAUUCCGCCGGAUUAUACUUCUCCCCUCCCCUCUCCCAUGGCAAGUUUCAUUCUUUAUCGCGGCCCUAUUAGCAUGCCGCCUAUUGCCCGGCUACCUGGCCGACUAAUUGUUUACUAAGCGGCCCUUUGCUGCCCGACCUUUUCGCGCUAAUCAGCGGACCCACGGUUUUAAACAACUUCCGCCGAGUUUAAACGACACCGCGACACGCGGCCAUACUUUAUUCAUGCGCAGACUAUUCGCCACAUUUCUGUAAACCACUGCGCGCAAUUCGCUUUGUGCCGACGUUCGACUACGAUUCAAUGUUAAUUUCCAACUUUGAAUAUCGCUACAGUUUUCUGGGUUUCAACUUAAGACCUUUCUAUACUGAAAUAUAUUGUACUUUUGAAAUAAUUUUUAUUUUGUCGUAUGUUAUUAACUUAAAAAUUUUGGUACUUUGGAAAUUUUAAUUUUUAUCGUAAAAUAGAUGUGAAAAAAAAGUUGCGAAAUUAUGUAAUUCCAUUUUCCAGUAACUUGUGAAAUAUGAAAUGUGGACUCCGUUGGUUAGCACAAUUUUUGUCAUAAAAAUCUGGCAAACAUUUAUUAUAUUUGACCUGUUAGAGUACAGUAUAUUCGAAACAGUAUUUUUGUCAAUGUUCAAUGCCCAUCAGUUAAAAUUGGUAUAUUAUUAUAUUCGCCGAUAAAGAAUCAAUUAUCCAAAAAUAAUUUCAUUAAUGUGGAAAUCAAAUUUCACGGCCAAGAUUACAAUAAUCGGUGAAAAAGAAGAGAGAAUUAAAUCCGCCCGUUAUUAAUAAAAUAAUUACUGUUAUUAAAUAAUUGUUUUAUGUAGAUAUUAAUAUAUAGCGGAAUAUUAAUACCGCGUGAAUCUAUCGGAAAAUUGAAGGUAAGAAUGUAAAUUAUUCGCUGAGCUGUUAUUUUCGAUAAUUUGAUGCGGGAGGCAAUUGAAUGAAAGUGGAAAUAAUUAAAAGUGGCUGUGUCAACGAAAGGGAAAUUAAUGCUUUAAUUGAUGGGACGGUUUUAAUAAUUUUAUGAAGCGCGAAUAUCUCGUUCAUUCAAACAAACUCAAUAGCAUUAAUGAGCGUGUCGUUCUCCUCAGUGGAAGGUAAAAUAUUUCGUGGCUGCGAAUAAAUGCGAAAUUUUGCGGCGUACGCGUUAAACCCGUAUCAUUGUACAGAAAUUAUUUGAUUAAAAAUUAAUAUUUAUUUCCGAUCAUACGCGCAGCUAAUUAUUUGUGCAACAAUCUUUUGGUUUCAUUUCAACACCUUUUAUAUUAUCGAUACGCUAUUUCCACAUAUUUUUGUAAUAUUCGUUAUACGCGCACAAUUUGCACAAAUUAACCGCACUUGGUUCAGUUUGCUUUCUAAUAUUUUACGAAAUAUGAAUUUUCGAUAACGUUUUGGCAAAUAUUAAUCAAUAAAAAUAACACAAUAUCAAACGAAAUUGGAACAACUAUACCAAAGAAGAAAAAUUCAAUAAAGAUUUUUGGAAACAAGAA